This is a long non-coding RNA of Carassius auratus (goldfish), 5406 nucleotides long. RefSeq lists it as uncharacterized. NCBI's taxonomy places the organism in Eukaryota, Metazoa, Chordata, Actinopteri, Cypriniformes, Cyprinidae. The transcript is spliced from 2 exons. The record is from RefSeq and is a predicted model, not a curated record.
UAAUAAGCAUUAACUAGAUUUUUACUGCAUGGAAAUGUGAGUGCCAGUGCAAAACUUGUCAGCAUGAUGUUAAAGUGUUUGCCAGGGUGUUGAUAUGUUGUUUUGAGUUUUGAAUCUGUAAAAUUCUUUUUAGUCUUGUUUUGAGUUUUCUCAGGUUCUCAAGUAUGAGAUUUUUCACCCGGAAAAACUAGAUGCAUUAGCACACCUCAAUAAGCUGCACAAUUUGAGGUAUCAUUCAUACAAUGCCAACCAAAUAUGAAUUUGAUUGGCUGAGGCUGAGCGGCCUAAAAAUCUAACUUUUAAAACUUAUUUUUUUUGUCAUUCUAAAAACAACAACAACAAAAAAAGUGGUGCAUAAUAGAGUGAAGUUGAUUGUUAGACAACGACUGAUUGACCAUUGUGAUGUGAUGUAUUUGAGGCAAACUGAAUGCAUUAGCACAACAAAGCAAUAGCAAUUCGCCUUAGCAAACACCAGUAAUGAUCUCAAUGCCCUACAUCUGACUUCAACAAUUCAAAUAGGCUGAAUCAAAUUUGACUUAUAAAAACCUGACAAAUCUCCUAUAAAACCUCUCUUCUCCAAAGGCUUUACACAUCCUAGUUGCUAAUGAGUUUCUGGAGUGUAAACAUGAAAGCAACUGUUUUUCCACCAAAUGUUUCCUAUGCAUUUGUUUACAGAGGGUGGUGGCAGGAUCAGCAGCUGAUGAUCACCCCAAACCCAACCUAGCGCUAGUUGAAACAACUGGUUUUGCCUGACUUAACAUCCAAUUGGGUUAAAAUACCAAUAUAUCAUGCUAUUUGGUGGGAUUUCUCCAAAAUGCCUUUAGAUGUACAACCCAAACAUUGAAUGCACCUCUGUUUUAUACAGCUUAAUAAUUAUUUUGAUUUCAGUGUUAGAAUGUGCAUGGCUACAGGAUUUGGGAGUGAAAACAGAAACGGCUUUUCUAAUGAUCCUUAACAGCUCAGAACUGUACUUGAAGAACUUUGAAGUCACAAUAACCACAACACCACAACAACUGCAAUGUUCUUCUGCAAGAAUCUAAGGCUAGGUGGCUAGUAACUGCCGACGUGUUCUGCGAUAUUGCAGAACUCGAUAGUAUAAUUCCAGAGGAUACAAGACUUUCCACUUAAGUCAAAUACUGUUGGACAAAGCGGAGCUUCGGAGUUUAAAACUGAACGCUUGAAGAAAGAAACCAAACAUAGUACAUCCAGAGGAGAUUAACAGAUCAUUAUCACGAAGCAUACAAGUCAGGAUAUAUAAUUGCAUUGAAAUUUAGCUAUCAAAAACCAUGAAAAACCCUCUGCUAAGCUUUUAUUUAUAAUUUUUGCAAUACAAAAUUGCAUUUUUAACAGUUUUGUUUAUUAAUAAUAAUUUAUUCAUAUUAAUAAUAAUGUAUUAAUAAUAUCUCAGUAACACUAAAUGCACUACUUAGCAGCCAUAAACAGUCCAUGCAAUUUAUUAUGCAAAUAAUAAUGCAAUAUUACUUGGCAAAUUGUUCAUGCAUUUGGAAUGUAUUUAAUUUGUAAAUACUAGGGUAAGGGCUUGGCAGAACAUAAAGUGAUUAUUAUAAUAAAUUAAUUGAUAUUCAAUUAUUAUUAAAUAGAUAGAUAGCAUGCCAUUGUUGAUAUUUCAUCUUAGAGUGGCUUCAUUUGUGAAUCAGACAGAAAGGAAAUGGACAUAUGGUGUCAGGUCUGAACAUUGAUGCUGUUGGGUUGCCAAGUAUUUCUGUGCAUACAGCCAAGAGGGCAUUAUCAGACAGCUGAGGCAGCCAGCAGAAAUGAUUGAGAUAACUGCCCUUACAGUCCUCCUGAGCUCCAGUUCUUCACAUUGCUGUGGACUGGGGCAGGGUGUUCUAGAGCGGCCUGGUGGUGAAAGAGUCUGUCUGACCUGGAGACGCAUGGGGCGGGUGCCUGGUCAUUACAGGAAUUGGUUUCCUGGCUUCUGAAGUUACAAUCAGAGCCUGGUACUGUCUCUUUGAAAUCAAUCCCGCAACCCAUGACUUGGCAGACUGAAGUUUCUGUACAGAUUUCCCCGCAGGUUUAGGCUCUUGAAACCACCGGAUCUGAGAUCGCCUCAUGGAAAUGUCAUAGGGACGUUUGCCUAGAGUGAGAUUUACAUGGCUUGGAAAUGUAGACUUUAAACAGGAGGGCACAGGACGACUGGGAUAUCACAGUUUCCUUAUGGUUGUUUUCGUGAUUUUUCCUCCUCUUGCGUGGCACAAGCCAACAAUGCCUAGAGUUUACAAACCACUAAAUUUGUCUUUUCUGUUGUAGGCUUUUCAAAGUGAGGGACAAAAUCACUUUUUCCAUGCUCGUGGUCCCCGGCUUGUAAAGGUUUAGCGGGCCUGUGUUUAACAUCUGACACAAAGCCAAGAUCUUGGAGCCCGGCCAAACCAGACGUAUCACGUGUAGACUGUCUAUUCAAAUGAGCUUUGGAAAGAAUGCUGUAGAGGUAUUGGUGUCUCUCCUCUUGGUCUUGUAAAACUUUUCAUUAAGAUAAAGGGAACCGAGCUUGGCCAAAAGAGAUGCAUCUGAUAGGGGCUCUGUUUAAUCAUUUAUAUAUGCGCUGGGCAAUUAUACUUCAUGAAUAUCCACCAAUUCUUACAGUUUGGGGGCUAAUGAUGAAAGCAGAGUUGCUAGUCACCUUGUCUGAUUAUUUUUUUCAGAAUGUGCUGCCAGAAAGGCUGAAAAAUGCUUCUGAGCAUAUGCUUCUAGAGGCCAUCAGAUGACGUGUUUUAGUGUCUUAUUAGCAUGCACGGCUAGAAUUAGGUCUUGCUAUUGUAAAAUAUUCAGACUAGCUCGCCUUUGAAAGUCGUUCUUGAAGCAGGCCGUUCUGCUUAGUCUUGCAUUCAUUGUCACAGACCGACCAUGGCAUCCCUGGCAAGAUUCCACUGCUAAAUAUUUAAAGCUUGGACCGUGUCCACAACAUGUUUGGGCCGCUGUAACAGAAAAGCAUGCUACAAACUAGAUAAAAAACCAUGAAUGUAACCGUACACUAAUGCUAGUUAAAACCGGGGGAAUUGCGAACUACAAAGCAAUAUUCAAAGCAAGAACUGGAUGAUUUGGGAUAAAAGUUUCCAUGUUGCAAUACACUAUCAGUUACAACCAAGAAAGCCAACAUAUAACUUACUAUUCAAACAAGACCCCUGUAAUUUAGGACAAUGCAAAGUGAUGACACCUGUCGAUACCCUUCAGGCUGAAAGCACAUGUGCGCACCUCUGCAUUGCCUGACCGUGUCUCAUGUCAUCAACACUCCGAAACAUGAACUCAGGAGGUGCUCUUCGGACAUCAGUGGAUCACUUCCAGUUGCUGAUUUCAAUUAGCUCAGACAAUGGCAAGAGAGAGAUAUUGUCUGUAAGCUAAAGGCAUCUUUCCACCAAGUGUAUCUAGCUACAAUCUUUCUUUUUCUAAACUAAACUUCUAAACUAGGCUAUAUCAUGUAUUUUUUUUCCAAGCAAACUUUAGCAGUUUCAAUUUUGUCAAUUUUAUGAUGAAAUACCAACAAUAAAUGUGUUUUUCCGCUCUUGUGGCUUAAAGAAUGAGCUUUAUCAAUCGUUUUCGAAUCAGUCGGGUAUCAUAUGCAGGCCAAAUUUUGUCACCACACCGCCUUUCCCAUGAUCCUCAACAACUAAAUGUAACAGCUAUAACAGAACUAACGAUUUUGUCUUGUGCUGUUUUACCUACCCUCCCAAGAAUCCUGCAGGGCACAACAUUUGAGGCAGGGCUUUGGAGCCACAUCUGAACCUGUGCUGCAGGCAAGAAAUUAGGCACCUUUUGUUCUCCUUCCUUGAAGAAACGUGACACUGCGGCUCCCCUCCACCGCCCCGAAGCACAUGACAGAAGGUUUCAACAGAUCGGCGUAUUCUGCUCAACCACAUGGGCCCAGUGUGAGGAUGUCGCUGCCCGGGAAUCAUGUUUCUGACAGAGACGAGACUACUGUGCAAGCUGAUUUUCUUCACAGCUGUUACUCACUAGCUUUCCAGGUGCCAAUGACAAAUACACGCUGGACAGAUUGCUGUUAAACUUUACUGGAAGGAGUCAUUCAAGCAUGCCAAAUGGGUUCCCUACUUGCAUACCUCUGCAAAGGAUGACUGGGCACUAGAUAUAAGUGUGCUGUGUUUAAGAAAAAAAAAGAGGAGAGGAGAGGAGAAAAUAUUGUGUAACCUAUGUAGAUUAUUUUUAAAAGCUGACAUCUCUUUCAAAAAGUGCAAGAGAUCUAUUCAGGUGCUAAUCAGUGAAGCGAGCCGUAUAUCUUUCAACGUCAGUCUGAUGUUACAAGCAAGUAUAUUUUCUGUGAGUUUGGCCUGUGGCGCAAUAUAAAAAUGAGAUGACAGACAGGCAAUAGAAGAACAACUGCUUUCCAUUCCUUUGUAAUCGUUGUUUAGUUACGGCUACAUCUCUAGUGGGUAAAUAAAAUGCAGAAAUCAGCAAUACUGAAAUAACCCAAUAAAACAGCCCAGUGCUUUUGGCUCAGUUCUUUACGUUUGUUUAUUUGCAUACUCUUAGAUUCUGACCAGCAAACGUUGCGAACGCAGUACACAGUUCUUUCAGGCAAGACACCUGAAGUCAUAUCUGUUAGCAACUGCAUCCAAGUUCGCACGUGGCAUGUCCGAACAGAAAGUCUCCCGUUUGAUCAUUAGCAAAUUUGCAGUAUUUGCCAAUCCUGGAGCUAAAUGUCAAUCCGGCAUUGCCUAUCAUGCUAGGCUCUAAACAUUUAAUCUUUACACCAUGAUCGACCAGCAUUCAAGACCAUGAAGGUAUAACACUAUUCAUGUGAGUGGGGCAUGAUUCCAUUUUAAACUUGUAUUUCAAUUUUAUGUUUGCACAACUGUGAAACUAAGGCGUCUUGGGGGAACAUAAAUGGAUUGGGAAGACACAGGGCCAAAAGACUUGGAAUCCUAAUGCAGGCAAGGACGCUUGACCUCUAUCCCUCUUUCCCUCUCUCGCGCUCUCUCUCUGUCUGUCCUGCCCAACUAGUAAAACCAUGCUGAAACUGAAUACCACGGGAGGCUAGAAGCGUCCCUCUAAAUUCAUCCCCAUGCUUGACGAACAGCUCUUGAUAGAUCGGCUCAACAGACAUUCUGCUGAAUCACAAGGGCUCAACUGUGUGCCCACUGCAAUCACAGAAGGGGUAAACCAGCAGCCACACUCAUCAGAGGACUUCAGAUAGAGACAAACAGGUUUCUGAUGUGCACCUGUGUGUGAGAGGGUUGUAUAGUGUUCAGUGUUCAACCUCAUCCAUUUGAAAAUUAUGUGCUUUCUUAUAGAAUAAAGCAUUGCUGUAGUCUAAAAAAUAGUUGUGUAACAUAACAUGCUAUUUUUAUUCAUGUAGCUCGACUAGUAGAGCAUUGCACUAACAACGCCAUGGAAAGCAUGAAUUGAGAGCACUGAAUAAAAGCAUCUGCCAAA